CGCCUUGCCAGCCCGCUACAGAAACUUAAAGGAAUUGACGGGGCCCGCACAAGCGGUGGAGUAUGUGGUUUAAUUCGAUGCAACGCGAAGAACCUUACCUGGUCUUGACAUCCCGGAGACCCUUAGGAAACUAGGGGGUGCUUCCAUCUGGAAGAAUCUGGAGACAGGUGCUGCAUGGCUGUCGUCAGCUCGUGUCGUGAGAUGUUGGGUUAAGUCCCGCAACGAGCGCAACCCUUGCCUUUAGUUGCCAGCAGUUCGGCUGGGCACUCUAAAGGGACUGCCGGUGUUAAACCGGAGGAAGGUGGGGAUGACGUCAAGUCCUCAUGGCCUUUAUGACCAGGGCUACACACGUACUACAAUGGCCGAUACAAAGGGCAGCGACACUGCGAGGUGAAGCCAAUCCCGUAAAAUCGGUCUCAGUCCGGAUUGGAGUCUGCAACUCGACUCCAUGAAGUUGGAAUCGCUAGUAAUCGUGGAUCAGCAUGCCACGGUGAAUACGUUCCCGGGCCUU
This 511-nucleotide ribosomal RNA is filed under the name uncultured Desulfobulbus sp. RNAcentral's name for it is "bacterial SSU rRNA". It matches the Rfam family "Bacterial small subunit ribosomal RNA", at positions 903 to 1382 of the family's 1533-position model. The record is from RNAcentral. Lineage: Bacteria; Pseudomonadati; Thermodesulfobacteriota; Desulfobulbia; Desulfobulbales; Desulfobulbaceae.